AUAAACCAAGAAAAAUAGAGACCCAUGGUAACAUCGCACCAGACCCAUCAUCAUCAGUUUCGAACAUCCUGAUUUACCCCUUCUCUGUAAACGGGUUAGGUUUUGCACUUUUUUCUUCAAUAGCUCAGGUGUUAUUUUUUCGUGUUGAUCCAUCUCCCUCAUCUGUAACUGAAGAACACAGGUUUUUAAGCGUGGCAGCAAGUUAUCUUCCUCAAUAAUUAAUCAGCCUUUGGGUUCUUCUUGGCACGAAAGCGAUUAACAUGGAUGAUCGAUCAUGGAUGUAUCGUCGUCUUAUGGAUGGUCGCCUUCGUCCUGAAUACAUUACCGGUGUUAGAAGAUUUAUCAAUUUUGCAUUUUCAAUUGAUAAAAAUAUAUCUGGGGGAAAAAUUAGAUGUCCUUGUGUGAGGUGCAAAAAUCAAAAGUUUUUAAAGGAAGAUGAUGUUUGUAAACAUCUAUUGACAAAAGGUUUUAUACCUUGUUAUGAAAAUUGGACAGUACAUGGGGAGCCUUAUGUUGCAGAACCAAUAUUGGCUGGACCUUCAUCAAUUGGAAUGAGUCAUGUUGUGAAUGAUGUUUGUCUAGAGAAUCCAUAUAGAAAUCUAGUUAUAGAUGC
Long non-coding RNA from Populus euphratica (Euphrates poplar), 613 nucleotides. RefSeq lists it as uncharacterized. The record is from RefSeq and is a predicted model, not a curated record. NCBI's taxonomy places the organism in Eukaryota, Viridiplantae, Streptophyta, Magnoliopsida, Malpighiales, Salicaceae. The transcript has 4 exons.